UACGUAGGGUGCAAGCGUUGUCCGGAAUUAUUGGGCGUAAAGAGCUCGUAGGCGGUUUGUUGCGUCGGCUGUGAAAUCCCGAGGCUCAACCUCGGGUCUGCAGUCGAUACGAGCAAACUAGAGUGUUGCAGGGGAGACUGGAAUUCCUGGUGUAGCGGUGAAAUGCGCAGAUAUCAGGAGGAACACCGGUGGCGAAGGCGGGUCUGUGGGCAACAACUGACGCUGAGGAGCGAAAGCGUGGGGAGCGAACAGG
This 253-nucleotide ribosomal RNA is filed under the name uncultured bacterium. Its description in RNAcentral is "partial 16S ribosomal RNA". It matches the Rfam family "Bacterial small subunit ribosomal RNA", at positions 524 to 776 of the family's 1533-position model. The record is from RNAcentral.